UACGUAGGGGGCAAGCGUUGUCCGGAUUUAUUGGGCGUAAAGAGCGUGUAGGCGGUUUGGUAGGUCCGCUGUGAAAACUCGAGGCUCAACCUCGAGACGCCGGUGGAAACCAUCAGGCUAGAGUCCGGAAGAGGAGAGUGGAAUUCCUGGUGUAGCGGUGAAAUGCGCAGAUAUCAGGAAGAACACCCGUGGCUAAGGCGGCUCUCUAGUACGGUACUGACGCUGAGACGCGAAAGCGUGGGGAGCGAACAGG
Molecule: ribosomal RNA, 253 nt
Filed under: uncultured bacterium
Lineage: Bacteria
Also listed under: 3 other names
Description: partial 16S ribosomal RNA
Rfam family: Bacterial small subunit ribosomal RNA
Source: RNAcentral